This 708-nucleotide ribosomal RNA is filed under the name uncultured Bacteroidota bacterium. RNAcentral's name for it is "bacterial SSU rRNA". It matches the Rfam family "Bacterial small subunit ribosomal RNA", at positions 86 to 793 of the family's 1533-position model. The record is from RNAcentral. Lineage: Bacteria; Pseudomonadati; Bacteroidota.
UGGUGGCGACCGGCGCACGGGUGCGUAACGCGUAUGCAACCUACCCAUAGCAGGGGGAUAACACUGAGAAAUUGGUACUAAUACCCCAUAACAUCAGGACCGGCAUCGGUUCUGGUUGAAAACUCCGGUGGUUAUGGAUGGGCAUGCGUUGUAUUAGCUGGUUGGUGAGGUAACGGCUCACCAAGGCAACGAUACAUAGGGGGACUGAGAGGUUAACCCCCCACAUUGGUACUGAGACACGGACCAAACUCCUACGGGAGGCAGCAGUGAGGAAUAUUGGUCAAUGGACGCAAGUCUGAACCAGCCAUGCCGCGUGCAGGAAGACGGCUCUAUGAGUUGUAAACUGCUUUUGUACGAGGGUAAACGCUCUUACGUGUAAGAGCCUGAAAGUAUCGUACGAAUAAGGAUCGGCUAACUCCGUGCCAGCAGCCGCGGUAAUACGGAGGAUCCAAGCGUUAUCCGGAUUUAUUGGGUUUAAAGGGUGCGUAGGCGGUUUGAUAAGUUAGAGGUGAAAUACCGGUGCUUAACACCGGAACUGCCUCUAAUACUGUUGAACUAGAGAGUAGUUGCGGUAGGCGGAAUGUAUGGUGUAGCGGUGAAAUGCUUAGAGAUCAUACAGAACACCGAUUGCGAAGGCAGCUUACCAAACUAUAUCUGACGUUGAGGCACGAAAGCGUGGGGAGCAAACAGGAUUAGAUACCCUGGUAG